GGACAGGUGGUGUAGUGGUAACGCAUUGCGUCCGGACGUGAAGAAGGGUGGUUCGAUUCCCUCUCGGUCCA
Gongylonema pulchrum is the source of this 71-nucleotide non-coding RNA. NCBI's taxonomy places the organism in Eukaryota, Metazoa, Nematoda, Chromadorea, Rhabditida, Gongylonematidae. The record is from Rfam.